Molecule: ribosomal RNA, 255 nt
Filed under: uncultured bacterium
Lineage: Bacteria
Description: partial 16S ribosomal RNA
Rfam family: Bacterial small subunit ribosomal RNA
Source: RNAcentral
UACGGAGGGUGCAAGCGUUAUCCGGAUUCACUGGGUUUAAAGGGUGCGUAGGUGGCUUUGUAAGUCAGUGGUGAAAGCCCGGAGCUCAACUCCGGAACUGCCAUUGAUACUGCUUAGCUUGAAUCACGUCGAGGUGGAUGGAAUAAUACAUGUAGCGGUGAAAAUGCUUAGAUAUGUAUUAGAACACCGAUUGCGAAGGCAGUUCACUAGGCGUGUAUUGACACUGAGGCACGAAAGCGUGGGGGAUCAAACAGG